Molecule: ribosomal RNA, 832 nt
Filed under: uncultured Entrophospora
Lineage: Eukaryota; Fungi; Glomeromycota; Glomeromycetes; Entrophosporales; Entrophosporaceae
Description: SSU rRNA
Rfam family: Eukaryotic small subunit ribosomal RNA
Source: RNAcentral
AUCAACUUUCGAUGGUAGGAUAGAGGCCUACCAUGGUGGUAACGGGUAACGGGGAAUUAGGGUUCGAUUCCGGAGAGGGAGCCUGAGAAACGGCUACCACUUCCAAGGAAGGCAGCAGGCGCGCAAAUUACCCAUUCCCGACACGGGGAGGUAGUGACAAUAAAUAACAAUACGGGGCUCUUUUGGGUCUCGUAAUUGGAAUGAGUACAAUUUAAUUCCCUUAACGAGGAACAAUUGGAGGGCAAGUCUGGUGCCUGCAUCCGCGGUAAUUCCAGCUCCAAUAGCGUAUAUUAAAGUUGUUGCAGUUAAAAAGCUCGUAGUUGAAUCUUGGCUGGUGUUGAGCGUCCGUGGCUUUUUUGGUCACGUGCACGCGAUAUUUACACCUGGCCAAUUAUAUUUUCAACCCUUCGGAGGAACACGUUUUGGUGCUUUUCAUUAAGUGCUCGUGGGAUUCCGAUAGUUUACUUUGAGAAAAAUAGAGUGUUCAAAGCAGGCGUUUUUGCCUUGAAUACAUUAGCAUGGGAUAAUAGAAUAGGACAUUGGUUCUAUUUUUGAUUUUUUGGUUUACGGACCGAUGUAAUGAUUAAUAGGAACAGUUGGGGACAUUCAUAUUCCAUGGCUAGAGGUGAAAUUCUUGGAUUCAUGGAAGAUGAACUACUGCGAAAGCAUUUGCCAAGGAUGUUUUCAUUAAUCAAGAACGAAAGUUAGGGGAUCGAAGACGAUCAGAUACCGUCGUAGUCUUAACCAUAAACUAUGCCGACUAGGAAUCAGACGAUGUUAAUUUUUUAAUGACUCGUUUGGCACCUUACGGGAAACCAAAGUGUUUGGGUUC